AGGUUUUCGGAUCGUAAAACUCGUGUUGUUAGGGAAGAACAAGUACCGUUCGAAUAGGGCGGUACCUUGACGGUACCUAACCAGAAAGCCACGGCUAACUACGUGCCAGCAGCCGCGGUAAUACGUAGGUGGCAAGCGUUGUCCGGAAUUAUUGGGCGUAAAGCGCGCGCAGGCGGUUUCUUAAGUCUGAUGUGAAAAGCCCCCCGGCUCAACCGGGGAGGGUCAUUGGAAAACUGGGGAACUUGAGUGCAGAAGAGGAGAGUGGAAUUCCACGUGUAGCGGUGAAAUGCGUAGAGAUGUGGAGGAACACCAGUGGCGAAGGCGACUCUCUGGUCUGUAACUGACGCUGAGGCGCGAAAGCGUGGGGAGCGAACAGGAUUAGAUACCCUGGUAGUCCACGCCGUAAACGAUGAGUGCUAAGUGUUAGAGGGUUUCCGCCCUUUAGUGCUGCAGCAAACGCAUUAAGCACUCCGCCUGGGGAGUACGGUCGCAAGACUGAAACUCAAAGGAAUUGACGGGGGCCCGCACAAGCGGUGGAGCAUGUGGUUUAAUUCGAAGCAACGCGAAGAACCUUACCAGGUCUUGACAUCCUCUGACAACCCUAGAGAUAGGGCUUCCCCUUCGGGGGCAGAGUGACAGGUGGUGCAUGGUUGUCGUCAGCUCGUGUCGUGAGAUGUUGGGUUAAGUCCCGCAACGAGCGCAACCCUUUGAUCUUUAGUUGCCAGCAUUCAGUUGGGCACUCUAAGGUGACUGCCGGGUGACAAACCGGAGGAAGGGUGGGGGAUGACGUCAAAUCAUCAUGCCCUCUUUAUGACGCUGGGCUACACACGUGCUACAAUGGGCAGAACAAAGGGCAGCGAAGCCGCGAGGCUAAGCCAAUCCCACAAAUCUGUUCUCAGUUCGGAUACGCAGUCUGCAACUCGACUGCGUGAAGCUGGAAUCGCUAGUA
Molecule: ribosomal RNA, 949 nt
Filed under: Bacillus licheniformis
Lineage: Bacteria; Bacillati; Bacillota; Bacilli; Caryophanales; Bacillaceae
Description: bacterial SSU rRNA
Rfam family: Bacterial small subunit ribosomal RNA
Source: RNAcentral